This 440-nucleotide ribosomal RNA is filed under the name uncultured bacterium. RNAcentral's name for it is "partial 16S ribosomal RNA". It matches the Rfam family "Bacterial small subunit ribosomal RNA", at positions 338 to 795 of the family's 1533-position model. The record is from RNAcentral.
CCUACGGGAGGCAGCAGUGGGGAAUAUUGCACAAUGGGGGAAACCCUGAUGCAGCGACGCCGCGUGAGUGAAGAAGUAUUUCGGUAUGUAAAGCUCUAUCAGCAGGGAAGAAAAUGACGGUACCUGACUAAGAAGCCCCGGCUAACUACGUGCCAGCAGCCGCGGUAAUACGUAGGGGGCAAGCGUUAUCCGGAUUUACUGGGUGUAAAGGGAGCGUAGACGGCCAGACAAGUCAGAAGGGAAAGCCCAGGGCUCAACCCUGGGACGGCUGUUGAAACUGCCGGGCUGGAGUGCGGGAGAGGUAAGCGGAAUGCGUGGUGUAGCGGUGAAAUGCGUAGAUAUUACGAGGAACACCAGUGGCGAAGGCGGCAUACUGGACUGAAACUGACGUUGAGGCACGAAAGCGUGGGGAGCGAACAGGAUUAGAUACCCCAGUAGUC